Long non-coding RNA from Myripristis murdjan (pinecone soldierfish), 766 nucleotides. RefSeq lists it as uncharacterized. NCBI's taxonomy places the organism in Eukaryota, Metazoa, Chordata, Actinopteri, Holocentriformes, Holocentridae. The transcript is spliced from 15 exons. The record is from RefSeq and is a predicted model, not a curated record.
CUAUAUAAAACAGCCUCCACCCUUUCCUCUUCCCUCACUCCCUCGUCGCUUGCAGCAGGGCCGUCGACGUAACUCCAAAAUAAAAGCCAGAAGGGACUAUAACCUGAUUUGACUUUGUCUCCAGCUCAGGAGAGUCAUCAGAAACUGUCUGGUAUCUGAAGGGGUGAAAAAUGAAACUUGAUGAGUUGGUGAGAUCGUCCUUCAGGCGCAGCACUGACUGCUUCCCAUAUGUGGUCACAUUACAGGAAUCAGCUGUUGCCCUCUACAUCCAGGACAGAUCUACAAGUCUUUGGAUCAGUUAAAGUGAUGGCUGGCCGGUAGAAGGGCAAAAUGAAGAUAUGUUCAGCCUUCUGACUGAGAAUCAGCCAUCCUUAAAUGGAUUUCAACAUGACGAACAUGGAUGAGAGAGUCACGAUGUCGUUGAUUUUAGGGGGACUGGAAAUCUGUUUCCAAUGACGUACACAGGUCGUCCCCAGAAUCGGUAUGACUUGAUUCAUCGAGACCUACUGGACUGAAGAAGACAGAAUCUUAAAAGGUGACAACUGGGGCUUGAGAUUUACCUGGAUGGGUGUGCUGGGAUGCAGCUCUCAGGCAUGAUGAGCGAGGAGAGACCUGGUUCCUGGGACCCGGUCUCUGCUCUGCGGACGGCUGCCCAAGAUCUGUGGGAUGAAGACUGAAGAUGUCUGAGAUUGUCAGACUGCUGAAAAGUGGAGUUUUUGAAAUGUAACUUGAAAGAUUGUGUGAAAAUAAAGAUACUUAACAGCAA